This 497-nucleotide ribosomal RNA is filed under the name uncultured bacterium. RNAcentral describes it as "partial 16S ribosomal RNA". It matches the Rfam family "Bacterial small subunit ribosomal RNA", at positions 28 to 507 of the family's 1533-position model. The record is from RNAcentral.
GAUGAACGCUGGCGGCGUGCCUAAUACAUGCAAGUCGAGCGAACAGACGAGGAGCUUGCUCCUUUGACGUUAGCGGCGGACGGGUGAGUAACACGUGGGUAACCUACCUAUAAGACUGGGAUAACUUCGGGAAACCGGAGCUAAUACCGGAUAAUAUUUCGAACCGCAUGGUUCGAUAGUGAAAGAUGGCUUUGCUAUCACUUAUAGAUGGACCUGCGCCGUAUUAGCUAGUUGGUAAGGUAACGGCUUACCAAGGCAACGAUACGUAGCCGACCUGAGAGGGUGAUCGGCCACACUGGAACUGAGACACGGUCCAGACUCCUACGGGAGGCAGCAGUAGGGAAUCUUCCGCAAUGGGCGAAAGCCUGACGGAGCAGCGCCGCGUGAGUGAUGAAGGUCUUCGGAUCGUAAAACUCUGUUAUUAGGGAAGAACAAACGUGUAAGUAACUGUGCACGUCUUGACGGUACCUAAUCAGAAAGCCACGGCUAACUACGUG